RNAcentral lists this ribosomal RNA (301 nucleotides) under uncultured bacterium. RNAcentral describes it as "partial 16S ribosomal RNA". It matches the Rfam family "Bacterial small subunit ribosomal RNA", at positions 509 to 807 of the family's 1533-position model. The record is from RNAcentral.
CAGCAGCCGCGGGAAUACGUAGGGUGCAAGCGUUAAUCGGAAUUACUGGGCGUAAAGCGUGCGCAGGCGGUUAUAUAAGACAGAUGUGAAAUCCCCGGGCUCAACCUGGGAACUGCAUUUGUGACUGUAUAGCUAGAGUACGGCAGAGGGGGAUGGAAUUCCGCGUGUAGCAGUGAAAUGCGUAGAUAUGCGGAGGAACACCGAUGGCGAAGGCAAUCCCCUGGGCCUGUACUGACGCUCAUGCACGAAAGCGUGGGGAGCAAACAGGAUUAGAUACUCCUGUAGUCCCUGUCUCUUAUAC